RNAcentral lists this non-coding RNA (255 nucleotides) under Streptomyces yokosukanensis. Its description in RNAcentral is "Streptomyces sRNA 4677". It matches the Rfam family "Streptomyces sRNA 4677". Rfam says of the family: Located in the intergenic region between anti-sigma factor SCO4677 gene and a putative regulatory protein gene SCO4676. scr4677 expression requires the SCO4677 activity and scr4677 sRNA itself seem to affect the levels of the SCO4676-associated transcripts. Lineage: Bacteria; Bacillati; Actinomycetota; Actinomycetes; Kitasatosporales; Streptomycetaceae. The record is from Rfam by way of RNAcentral.
UGCUCCGGUGCCGCGGGCGGUCUCCCCAAGAAGAACUCCGGGGCUAAAGGACCCGACCCAACCCCACCCCUCCCUCCCGGCGCGCAAACUCACCCACGAGGGUGAAAUGCACCAACUGGGUUGGCAUGUCGGAUGGUUGUGCGCUUUAGGCUCAGCGCGACAGAACGACCGCCGCAGAAAUGCGACGGCCCCCGCCGGGAGUAGCGAGCUCCCAUUGGCGAGGGCCUGACCACCCAGGAAGAAAGCACCUUCCCG